UACAGAGGGUGCAAGCGUUAAUCGGAGUUACUGGGCGUAAAGGGCGCGUAGGUGGUUGUGUAAGUUGUUUGUGAAAUCCCCGGGCUUAACCUGGGAACUGCAAGCAAUACUGCAUAACUGGAGUACUGUAGAGGGUAGUGGAAUUUCCGGUGUAGCGGUGAAAUGCGUAGAGAUCGGAAGGAACACCAGUGGCGAAGGCGGCUACCUGGACAGAUACUGACACUGAGGCGCGAGAGCGUGGGGAGCAAACAGG
RNAcentral lists this ribosomal RNA (253 nucleotides) under uncultured bacterium. RNAcentral describes it as "partial 16S ribosomal RNA". It matches the Rfam family "Bacterial small subunit ribosomal RNA", at positions 524 to 776 of the family's 1533-position model. The record is from RNAcentral.